AGGGUUUGAUCAUGGCUCAGAACGUACGCUGGCGGCACGCCUUAUACAUGCAAGUCGAACGAAGUAGCAAUACUUAGUGGCAGACGGGUGAGUAACAUGUGGGUAUCUUCCCUUUGGUGAGGAAUAACACGAGGAAACUUGUGCUAAUACCUCAUAAGUCUUUACAGAGAAAGCUUUAUGCGCCGAUGGAUGAGCCUGCACUUGAUUAGUUUGUUGGUGGGGUAAUGGCCUACCAAGACUGUGAUCAAUAGCUGAUUUGAGAGGAUGAUCAGCCACAUUGGGACUGCGACACGGCCCAAACUCCUACGGGAGGCAGCAGUAAGGAAUCUUGCACAAUGGAGGAAACUCUGAUGCAGCGAUGCCGCGUGAGUGAAGAAGGCCUUUGGGUUGUAAAGCUCUUUCGUCGGGGAAGAAAAUGACUGUACCCGAAUAAGAAGGUCCGGCUAACUUCGUGCCAGCAGCCGCGGUAAUACGAAGGGACCUAGCGUAGUUCGGAAUUACUGGGCUUAAAGAGUUCGUAGGUGGUUAAAAAAGUUGGUGGUGAAAUCCCAGAGCUUAACUCUGGAACUGCCAUCAAAACUUUUUAGCUAGAGUAUGAUAGAGGAAAGCAGAAUUUCUAGUGUAGAGGUGAAAUUCGUAGAUAUUAGAAAGAAUACCAAUUGCGAAGGCAGCUUUCUGGA
RNAcentral lists this ribosomal RNA (680 nucleotides) under uncultured bacterium. RNAcentral describes it as "bacterial SSU rRNA". It matches the Rfam family "Bacterial small subunit ribosomal RNA", at positions 8 to 733 of the family's 1533-position model. The record is from RNAcentral.